AAAUCACCCGCGAUCACACAUUAGAAUAUCCGUGCCGCCUGGUGCGAUUCUCUCUCUCUCUCUCUAGUUUUUCUAUAAUUAUUGUUAACGCCUUAACCUUUUAAGGGGGGGAAAAAGGGGAAGAGAAGUAAAAGUCGAAUUGUCAAUUGAUUUUCAAACACACUAGUUGUCGCUAGUGUGCAUGUCUGGCCCACCAAUUGGAGAAGAAUUAGUGGUAUCAAGUAUGCAAGAGAGAAUAUCUGAAAUGAUGAAUCAUGCUGAUGCUUUUAUUUUCUUGCCAGUAGAUCUUGC
This 291-nucleotide long non-coding RNA is filed under the name Citrus sinensis (sweet orange). RNAcentral's name for it is "long non-coding RNA (CSIN_LNC003284)". The record is from RNAcentral. Lineage: Eukaryota; Viridiplantae; Streptophyta; Magnoliopsida; Sapindales; Rutaceae.